GUAGGGGGCAAGCGUUGUCCGGAAUUAUUGGGCGUAAAGAGUACGUAGGCGGUUUGUUAAGCGCAAGGUGAAAGGCAUAGGCUCAACCAAUGUGAGCCUUGCGAACUGGCAGACUUGAGUGCAGGAGAGGAAAGCGGAAUUCCUAGUGUAGCGGUGAAAUGCGUAGAUAUUAGGAGGAACACCGGUGGCGAAGGCGGCUUUCUGGACUGAAACUGACGCUGAGGUACGAAAGCGUGGGGAGCAAA
Molecule: ribosomal RNA, 245 nt
Filed under: uncultured bacterium
Lineage: Bacteria
Description: partial 16S ribosomal RNA
Rfam family: Bacterial small subunit ribosomal RNA
Source: RNAcentral